Molecule: long non-coding RNA, 2110 nt
Organism: Dunckerocampus dactyliophorus (ringed pipefish)
Lineage: Eukaryota; Metazoa; Chordata; Actinopteri; Syngnathiformes; Syngnathidae
Exons: 4
Source: RefSeq, a predicted model, not a curated record
CAUUGCUCUACUGUAUGCUGUCAGAGCAGGAGAAAAGCGCUUUAGGACUGUACAUUCAGUCAAAGCAGCCAUUAGUCUGAUUAACAUCAAUUGUAGCGUCUCAUUUCAGAACUGAGAUCGACUGGGAGGUUAAUUCUUCGCUGUCGUCGACGUCGGCGAGGUCAGCGGCGGCUUUCAUCAGACACAAAGCGCUAAUUGUGUCGCCAUUAUUUUAACUUCAAGUCUGGGUCGAGAAAAGAUAGUCGGGACAGCUGACGGUAGAAGCACCCUCUGGUUCAAAGAGGGCAUAUUUGCAAAGUGAACUCACUUCCUCCUCCUUCUCCAGUCUCCGACAAGAUUGUUUUUCAGUGCCGAAAAAUGUAAAAACAGACGUAAAACAGCGCAGAGCAGUGCAAAUAGAGUUCUUUCUCAAUUGGUCCCUCGGUGUCAUGCUGGAAAGGAUACUUGGACACCAGACAAAGACGAAAAAAGGGAUUCUUAAAAAAAAAAAAAAAAAAAAAACGCUUGAAACACUCAAAUCGCAGCGUGCACUCUUGUGGAGGUUGAGUUUAGUGUUUCUAAGAGGGCCCCUGCAGGAAGCUGGGAUUGAAAGCGCUGCUCGGCAACGCUCAUGAAAAUUCAUCCUUAAGUACCUGUGCAGAGGUCAAACCCAUGAUUGAGAAAUGUUGCCAAAACAUGUCCGACAUGUGAGACAUGGGUGCUGCUUUGCUUCGACUGCAGAAAAAGCUGUGUCUACACGGGUCUUUUUAAAAGCCUGUGUGUGGGAGAAGAACAAACCUGUUUUUGCUGGAAUCAUCUUCCAUUUUUGAUCAUCUCUGCACAUAGAAAAAAAAAAUAUGAUAAAGACAACAGAGCUUUUCUUCCUGUCGCUCACACACACACACACACACACGUGACCUGCUGGGAAAAAAAGUGUCUCAAAACUUUGUUAGCAAACAGAGGAGUUAUUUUGCUAAUGUUAAGAUAGUGGUAAUCCAUGACGCAGAGUUAUCAAGCAAGUACAGUCAUCCCUCGUUUAUCACCAUUAAUUGGUUCCGGACCUGACCGCGAUAAGUGAAUUUCUGCGAAGUAGGACUCAACAUUAAAAAAUGGAAUAUUUUCAUAGAGCAUUAUUACUGCCCUGUAGGCAUGAAAAUAACACCCCUAUAGUCACCUUUACACUCCUACAUUGCAUUGCUCAACUGUAAUGCGAUGAGCUGGCCGCUGCUUUAAACAUAGCAUGCUACCGAGCUAACUAGUUAGCCUCCAAUUUAUUUAUUCAAAACUUAAAGGGUUUCAAACGGUGUGGGGAACAAUACAAAGGAAGAAGCUAUAUAAACUUACCACUUUCACACUGAAUGGGAGGAGAACUAAUCUAAUGUAAUGUAACAUUACUAACGCCUAGUGACCAGAAUCCUACAUUUAACUUGUCUGUCAAUAUAUUUGAACUAAUAUUAAGCCACAGUCAAACAUGAAACAAACCAUUUAUUAAUUUUUGAAAAACUGCAAUAGAGUGAGGGAGCAAUGUUCGAACCGCGAUGUAGCGAGGGAGGACUGUAUCCAGCAGCGAAGACAUGUGAUAUCGUUUUUAUAUUGCAAUCAGCUUUUCCACUAUUGAAAACAUGAUUAAAAAAAGAUUUGUUUUGUCUUGAAAUAUUUCAAAAGCACCCCCCCAAUCUUAGCAGCAAUCGUGAUACUGUACGGGUAGCACUGUGCUAGUUUGGCAAUUGGCAAUUGUCGUCUGCAAAGUCAUUGACAAUCAUUGGAAAGCUGAAGAAGACGAACGCACGUCGUCUGUGUUGAAAGAGUAGUGUAAUAUUGUACGAGAAGCAGAACACGAAAGGGCCCAGAAUGUGGAAGACUUCUGUGCCAGUAAAGGAAGGGUGUUCUGCUGCUAUUGGUGGUUGUUAAUGACAGGUUUCUUUGUCUUAAUUUGGAAUUUAAUGUUUGACAUUAGUCUUGAAGGUGGGUCUAAUGCGCAUUACAAGGUUGUUUACAACCUUUUCCUUACAGGAAUACAUGUGUACUUUGUUGUGUGAAUAAAGCCUAUUGUGCACAUAUUUCUGUGCCAUGUUGGUAAGAUACUUUUCUCAUUAUUUUUGUUCUUUAUAUUUGUUUGUUAAUUACUUAU